AGAGCGAACGCUGGCGGCAGGCCUAACACAUACAAGUCGAGCGCCCCGCAAGGGGAGCGGCAGACGGGAGAGUAACACGUGGGAACGUACCCUUCAGUUCGGAACAACCCAGGGAAACUUGGGCUAAUACCGAAUACGUCCGUAAGGAGAAAGAUUUAUCGCUGAAGGAUCGGCCCGCGUCUGAUUAGCUUGUUGGUGAGGUAACGGCUCACCAAGGCGACGAUCAGUAGCUGGUCUGAGAGGACGACCAGUCACACUGGAACUGAGACACGGUCCAGACACCUACGGGUGGCAGCAGUCGAGAAUUUUUCUCAAUGGGGGCAACCCUGAAGGAGCGACGCCGCGUGGAGGAUGAAGGCUUUCGGGUUGUAAACUCCUGUCAUUUGAGAACAAGUGUUGGCACGUAACUACUGCCAACUUGAUAGUAUCAGAAGAGGAAGGGACGGCUAACUCUGUGCCAGCAGCCGC
Molecule: ribosomal RNA, 468 nt
Filed under: uncultured bacterium
Lineage: Bacteria
Description: SSU rRNA
Rfam family: Bacterial small subunit ribosomal RNA
Source: RNAcentral